AAAAUAAUAAGCUAAUUUAAGCUAUUGGAUUCAUAUUUCAAUUAUAAUUUAAUAAAUUUUAUUUUA
RNAcentral lists this transfer RNA (66 nucleotides) under Aleurodicus dugesii (Doogie Howzer whitefly). Its description in RNAcentral is "tRNA-Met". The record is from RNAcentral. Lineage: Eukaryota; Metazoa; Arthropoda; Insecta; Hemiptera; Aleyrodidae.